RNAcentral lists this ribosomal RNA (465 nucleotides) under uncultured bacterium. Its description in RNAcentral is "partial 16S ribosomal RNA". It matches the Rfam family "Bacterial small subunit ribosomal RNA", at positions 28 to 507 of the family's 1533-position model. The record is from RNAcentral.
GACGAACGCUGGCGGCGUGCUUAACACAUGCAAGUCGAACGGAAAGGCCCCUUUGGGGGUACUCGAGUGGCGAACGGGUGAGUAACACGUGAGUAACCUGCCCUUGACUUCGGGAUAACUUCAGGAAACUGGGGCUAAUACCGGAUAGGAAUCCUUGCUGCAUGGUGGGGGUUGGAAAGCUUCGGCGGUUUUGGAUGGACUCGCGGCCUAUCAGCUUGCUGGUGGGGUAGUUGCUUACCAAGGCUUUGACGGGUAGCCGGCCUGGGGGGGCGACCGGCCACAUUGGGGCUGAGGUACGGCCCAGACUCCUACGGGAGGGAGCAGUGGGGAAUAUUGCACAAUGGGCGGAAGCCUGAUGCAGCAACGCCGCGGGCGGGAUGACGGCCUUCGGGUUGUAAACCGCUUUCAGCAGGGGCGAAGCUUGUGGUGACGGUACCUGCAGAAGAAGCACCGGCUAACUACGUG